Molecule: ribosomal RNA, 440 nt
Filed under: uncultured bacterium
Lineage: Bacteria
Description: partial 16S ribosomal RNA
Rfam family: Bacterial small subunit ribosomal RNA
Source: RNAcentral
CCUACGGGAGGCUGCAGUGGGGGAUAUUGCACAAUGGGGGGAACCCUGAUGUAGCGACGCCGCGUGGGUGAAGAAGCGCCUCGGCGCGUAAAGCCCUGUCAGCAGGGAAGAAAAUGACGGUACCUGAAGAAGAAGCCCCGGCUAACUACGUGCCAGCAGCCGCGGGAAUACGUAGGGGGCAAGCGUUAUCCGGAUUUACUGUGUGUAAAGGGGGCGCAGACGGCGAUGCAAGCCAGGAGUGAAAGCCCGGGGCCCAACCCCGGGACUGCUCUUGGAACUGCGUGGCUGGAGUGCAGGAGGGGCAGGCGGAAUUCCUGGUGUAGCGGUGAAAUGCGUAGAUAUCAGGAGGAACACCGGUGGCGAAGGCGGCCUGCUGGACUGCAACUGACGUUGAGGCCCGAAAGCGUGGGGAGCAAACAGGAUUAGAUACCCCUGUAGUC